Molecule: ribosomal RNA, 254 nt
Filed under: uncultured bacterium
Lineage: Bacteria
Description: partial 16S ribosomal RNA
Rfam family: Bacterial small subunit ribosomal RNA
Source: RNAcentral
GACGAACCGUCCAAACGUUAUUCGGAAUCACUGGGCUUAAAGGGCGCGUAGGCGGCCGAGCGGGUCGUGGGUGAAAUCCCCCAGCUUAACUGGGGAACUGCUUACGAUACCACUGCGGCUCGAGGAAGGAAGGGGCAAUUGGAACUGUCGGUGGAGCGGUGAAAUGCGUUGAUAUCGACAGGAACGCCGGUGGCGAAAGCGAAUUGCUGGUCCUUUUCUGACGCUGAGGCGCGAAAGCCAGGGGAGCAAACGGG